Molecule: ribosomal RNA, 460 nt
Filed under: uncultured bacterium
Lineage: Bacteria
Description: partial 16S ribosomal RNA
Rfam family: Bacterial small subunit ribosomal RNA
Source: RNAcentral
CCUACGGGCGGCAGCAGUGAGGAAUAUUGGUCAAUGGACGAGAGUCUGAACCAGCCAAGUAGCGUGAAGGAUGACUGCCCUAUGGGUUGUAAACUUCUUUUAUAUGGGAAUAAAAUGUUCCACGUGUGGGAUUUUGUAUGUACCAUAUGAAUAAGGAUCGGCUAACUCCGUGCCAGCAGCCGCGGUAAUACGGAGGAUCCGAGCGUUAUCCGGAUUUAUUGGGUUUAAAGGGAGCGUAGGUGGAUUGUUAAGUCAGUUGUGAAAGUUUGCGGCUCAACCGUAAAAUUGCAGUUGAAACUGGCAGUCUUGAGUAUAGUAGAGGUGGGCGGAAUUCGUGGUGUAGCGGUGAAAUGCUUAGAUAUCACGAAGAACUCCGAUUGCGAAGGCAGUUCACUGGACUGCAACUGACACUGAGGCUCGAAAGUGUGGGUAUCAAACAGGAUUAGAUACCCGGGUAGUC